GCCAGGUGUGGUGGUGCACAUCUGUAGUCCCAGCUCCUUGGGAGGCUGAGGCAGGAGGAUUGCUUGAGCCCAGGAGUUCAAGGCUGCAGUGAACUAUGAUUGCACCACUGCACUCCAGCCUGGGUGACAGAGCAAGACCCUAUCUCUA
Molecule: unclassified non-coding RNA, 148 nt
Organism: Macaca fascicularis (crab-eating macaque)
Lineage: Eukaryota; Metazoa; Chordata; Mammalia; Primates; Cercopithecidae
Rfam family: Metazoan signal recognition particle RNA
About the family: The signal recognition particle (SRP) is a universally conserved ribonucleoprotein. It is involved in the co-translational targeting of proteins to membranes.
Source: Ensembl